RNAcentral lists this ribosomal RNA (1430 nucleotides) under bacterium. Its description in RNAcentral is "bacterial SSU rRNA". It matches the Rfam family "Bacterial small subunit ribosomal RNA". The record is from RNAcentral.
GGGGGGGCCUAUACAUGCAGUCGAGCGAACAGAUAAGGAGCUUGCUCCUUUGACGUUAGCGGCGGACGGGUGAGUAACACGUGGGUAACCUACCUAUAAGACUGGGAUAACUUCGGGAAACCGGAGCUAAUACCGGAUAACAUUUGGAACCGCAUGGUUCUAAAGUGAAAGAUGGUUUUGCUAUCACUUAUAGAUGGACCCGCGCCGUAUUAGCUAGUUGGUAAGGUAACGGCUUACCAAGGCGACGAUACGUAGCCGACCUGAGAGGGUGAUCGGCCACACUGGAACUGAGACACGGUCCAGACUCCUACGGGAGGCAGCAGUAGGGAAUCUUCCGCAAUGGGCGAAAGCCUGACGGAGCAACGCCGCGUGAGUGAUGAAGGGUUUCGGCUCGUAAAACUCUGUUAUUAGGGAAGAACAAACGUGUAAGUAACUGUGCACGUCUUGACGGUACCUAAUCAGAAAGCCACGGCUAACUACGUGCCAGCAGCCGCGGUAAUACGUAGGUGGCAAGCGUUAUCCGGAAUUAUUGGGCGUAAAGCGCGCGUAGGCGGUUUCUUAAGUCUGAUGUGAAAGCCCACGGCUCAACCGUGGAGGGUCAUUGGAAACUGGGAAACUUGAGUGCAGAAGAGGAAAGUGGAAUUCCAUGUGUAGCGGUGAAAUGCGCAGAGAUAUGGAGGAACACCAGUGGCGAAGGCGACUUUCUGGUCUGUAACUGACGCUGAUGUGCGAAAGCGUGGGGAUCAAACAGGAUUAGAUACCCUGGUAGUCCACGCCGUAAACGAUGAGUGCUAAGUGUUAGGGGGUUUCCGCCCCUUAGUGCUGCAGCUAACGCAUUAAGCACUCCGCCUGGGGAGUACGACCGCAAGGUUGAAACUCAAAGGAAUUGACGGGGACCCGCACAAGCGGUGGAGCAUGUGGUUUAAUUCGAAGCAACGCGAAGAACCUUACCAAAUCUUGACAUCCUUUGAAAACUCUAGAGAUAGAGCCUUCCCCUUCGGGGGACAAAGUGACAGGUGGUGCAUGGUUGUCGUCAGCUCGUGUCGUGAGAUGUUGGGUUAAGUCCCGCAACGAGCGCAACCCUUAAGCUUAGUUGCCAUCAUUAAGUUGGGCACUCUAGGUUGACUGCCGGUGACAAACCGGAGGAAGGUGGGGAUGACGUCAAAUCAUCAUGCCCCUUAUGAUUUGGGCUACACACGUGCUACAAUGGACAAUACAAAGGGCAGCUAAACCGCGAGGUCAUGCAAAUCCCAUAAAGUUGUUCUCAGUUCGGAUUGUAGUCUGCAACUCGACUACAUGAAGCUGGAAUCGCUAGUAAUCGUAGAUCAGCAUGCUACGGUGAAUACGUUCCCGGGUCUUGUACACACCGCCCGUCACACCACGAGAGUUUGUAACACCCGAAGCCGGUGGAGUAACCAUUUAUGGAGACU